UCGGGUCGCGUAGGCCACUCGUGCCUGCCAACGACAGGUGAUUGACAAAGUGCCUUGACACACGGGACCGAGAUGUCAGCCGGAGAAAAAAUGGAGGAGGUAAAGGUGACAUUCUGUUGUUGCUAUCGAACGUGAUGCAUGCACUGUGCAUAAAUAUUGGAACAAUUUUACAUUGCUAAACGUGAUUAAAGGUUUCCCGGGGAUUCCUGUGAAAUAGAAAUAGCUGCUUCUUACGGGACCCUGUAAGGAUGGAAAAGGGGCGGCGAUUUUUGUCUUCCGUUCACGGCGAGUUUUUAUUCACCGCGAUUGAAAGAGUAGGAGAAACUUGAACAAUGAUUGGAGAGGGUACCCUUUGACUGUGCGAACCAGUGUUGGGCGUGUUAACGAAAUAUUUCAUUAUUUGUUUAAUCCAUGGUGAAUUCAGGGUUGAUUUGGAACAGUACUGGUUAAUGUAUUAUUUUAUAUACUAUAUGGGUCUAUUUCGUUUGAAACUGUCUGCGUAAUAUUCGGAGUGGAAUAUUUUAUUCUGGGGAAUAACUGUUUAGAACAGUGUUUGAGAAUAGAGAACAAGCAGAAUCGGAACGAAAUAGAAUGAAACAAAUGCUCAGAUAUGAAAGCUAAUUAUAGUGAUUCUUUAAACAAAUCGGCUGGUUUAUUUACGGUGCUGCAGAUAAAUGCAGAAUAAGGGACGGACGGGGAGUGAAAUCACAUCGAUGGA
Nomia melanderi (Alkali bee) is the source of this 718-nucleotide long non-coding RNA. RefSeq lists it as uncharacterized. Lineage: Eukaryota; Metazoa; Arthropoda; Insecta; Hymenoptera; Halictidae. The record is from RefSeq and is a predicted model, not a curated record.